UUCCUUCUUCAUCUUAUGAGCUUUUCUCCCCUGGUUCCCCUCCUGUCACUGUUUGCUCCUUCUUUAUCUCUUUUGCUGGUUCCUCUUUCGGUCCUUCUUCCUCGAAUCUCAUCUUUGGCUCUUAGAGAAAUUCCUCUCUGCUUGUUCCUUAAAAUAUCACAUACAACAUGGUUUAAAAGCAUGAAUAAGAAUCUAGAGUUAGACUGUCCAAAUUCUGGUUCUACUACUUAUCAACUCUGAACAAUUGAGAAAGUUACUAAUUUCUCAUUCUUUCCAUUUCACCCUCUGUAAAAUAGGGGCAGAUGUCCCUUAUAGCUUUAAUGUGAGGAUUAAAUAAGAUACUGCGCAUGAGUCAUUCAGCAAGUGGUAACACAUAGAAAGAAUAAAAUAAGGAUCUAUCAUUGUCAACAGUGCCAUCAACAUCAGCAGAAGCAUCAGCAUUAUCAUCACCACUUUCUUCUCUGGAAUAUGGCCACAACCUAUAGCUCUAGGCUUGGCCACCAUCCUGCCACUUUCCCAUCUGUCAGCAGAAGCUCACUGGGGAUUUCCACUGAUAUCUUCAAAUCCACAUACCUGAUUUCCAAUCUCAUUCCUCCCUUCAGUAAUUCUACUUGGAUCUGAAUUCCUAGAUGCUUGGGCUCAAGGAUAACUGGAACCUAGUAAUAGUUGAGAACUUGGUUCUAGGAGUAUCUGCCUAAAUAGGAUUAUGGAUAGGAAGUGAGAGAGUGCAGACUUCUUGAGGGAGGAUUUAAUAACCACAGGCAAUGUGGAUGGAUAGACAGGGCAGAAAUGACAUUGUAAGCAGUUUGACUGAAGAGGAUUUUAUUUCUCUAUCUGAGGUUCUUCCCAAUGAAUUAUUAUCUGAAUUUAGGCCACAAAGCAAGGCACAGUGCAGACUAACAAUCAGGUUUCUCACAAGUAAUUCUCUUCUUUCUGUGAUUUAGGGUGGUUUGCCUCAUUUGUAGCCACAGUCCUGGGGGUAAUUGUUGAGAUAUUUCUAAUUCCCAUUUUAUGAUGUUGGCAAGCCUUCUUGGCCCCUCACAUUAGGCACGAAGCUGAGUACCAGCUCUGACCCAUCUAGAACACUAAUACCCUAACCUCUUUUUAUUGAUUUAUUUUUGUCUUUUCUUAUUUACUUUGAUUGAUUAGUUAAAAUGUUGUAAAAUUAUAAAUUUGAAUGCUUUUCAUAUAUCUGUGAUUAUAUGUCUGUACAUAUAGAAAACUGUUAAUCCACACUGAUCAACUUAACCCCAAUCCAACAACAAAUGGCCCAUUCUAUUUUAUUCUUGUCUGUGUUUAAAACUCUCUUCUCCAACAGUGAGUUAUCUGGCUUCUAUUAUUCUUAACAUGUUUUCAUUUUUUUUUCAGUCAAGCAAGACAAAUAACUUUAUUUUUAUGAGAAAACAUUUUAUUUUUAAGUGAAGUAAUAUGAAUUUAUAACAUUAAAUAGAAGUAUAAUAUUGUACACAUGAAACAACAUAUUUUCUUACUCAUCAAUUCGUCUGUUGCUGCCAGUCUCCUGUUGCCAUGGACCUCUUCCUCUCCAUGAGGACGUCCUUUCCACUGCCAGAGCUUCCACAUCCUGUUCUUGGUCUCUGCUGCCUCCAAUUCAUUUGAAUCUUCAGCAUAUACUCACCUUAUUCUCCCAAUAUGGGCAAACUCUCCUCAGCAUGCAUAGACUCUGACCCUUUCCUUGUUGUCUGUUCCUCCCAUGCUCCUUACUAUGCAUGGUCUCUAAUACCACAAACCAGGCAUCUAUCCUUAGGGACACAUGCAAGCUCUGAUACUCUGCACUAGACCACCUUUCUGGGUGGUGGUUCAACCCACGCAGGCUCUGACACUCCAUGCAUCCUCCUCACUGUGCUUGAGCUCCAACAUCACAUACCAAGCUACCCACUUGCAUGCAUGGACAUCCUCUUUACUCACUUGGAUUCCAGCUCCCGGGUCUGGGUUCCCUCCCAUACUUAAGUCCUUUUCAGCCUCUUUGGGCUUGAAUAGCCUAUACAAACCCACUACACAAACUAACCUGCUUAGUUUCUGACCUCCUAAACAGACCAUUCCCAAAUGUAGAAGCCAUCCUCGCCUGGCUCAAGUUCCAGAUUCCUAUGCAGGUUCAGCCACCUCCCAUGACACCCUCUUUACCCUCUUGGGAUUCAACAGCCAUAAUUAGAUACACCCCUCAUUCUGCUUGGGCACACUCCCUGACCCUGGGUCACCAUGGCAACCCCUUGUUCACCAAGCCUGUUCACCUUACCUGAAGGGUUCCCAACUCAUAGUUAUAGGAGUGAACUGUUAAUGAAGGGAAGGAAAGGGAAAGAGGAAAGGAGAAGGAAGGGGAAGGAACCUUAGCCCUUCAGAUGACUAUGGAAUUCUGAUCCACUGUUGAGCUGUUGAGCUUUAGCUCUUACUUGCUGUCAUGGCUUUGAGUCUCUUCCUUGAUUCUUAUAGUUGGAGAAGGAAGUACAAUAUUAAGCCUGUAUUAUUUAAAUAAUAGCUGUGAUUUAUCUAACAUAUUUUUGUGUGUUUUGACUAGAAGCAAAGUGCCCUGGUCUCUUGCAUUAAACAUAACAUUGUAAAUCAUAUACCCCAAUAAAUUUUUAAAUAAUAAAAUAAAAUAGCAAUCCCACCCCCAAAGCCCUAAUCCCCUUCACUACAUACUACUUAGUUACCUUCUGACAUACUAUUUUUAACUUCUUUGUUUAUCCUGUCUCUCACCACAACUAAAAUAAAAGCAUACUGACAAGAUUUCUUAAAAAGAUAAUAAAUUUGAGUGGAAAUAAAAAGAAUGGGUGAGGAGUUAAGAGGAUAAAACAGGGAAGGAAGACCAUCAGGCAAAUGUGAGGGUGGAAAGUAGAAGUUGGGAUCAUUAUCGUUGAAAUCGGGAGUGAAGGAGAGAGCACAGUUCAGGAUGGAGCUGGUGAGGUAGGAAGGACCAAGCCACCAAAAAACCUAAAAGCAAAGAGAGACUAGAUCUUAUUUUUUGAACACUUUAAAAGCCAUGGGAUGACUCUAGCAGUGAGGUUUUGCUUCAUUCUACCAGAUAACUAGGCCAAUGAAAUCUGGUUAAAGCAGUGGCAAAUGCCUAAGGAAAAUGCAGCAGAUAUUUUUUUUUGUGCCAGGUACUCAGAUUUUUGUCUUCAAUUCUCCCACCUGUUCCUGAUUCUGCCUUGUUUCUGGAACUCAGCAGAUUUAUGACUUUUCAAUAUCUUCUUAAAUGAACUCUCAGGGCUGAUUUGACUGUCUGCCCCAGUGUUGUGUCUGUGACCUCAGACAAAAUGUGUUUCCCAAACUCACAUUCCCACUUUAACUUUGGGCUCCAACCAAGUCCUGUUAUGCUUAGAUGAAAUUUCACUCAACAAAUUUCAGCUGGCAAUACGGCCCUAUGAAACAAAUGGCAUUUUAUGUCAAAUCAAGAAGUUUUUGUCAUCAUUAAUAAAUGCUUUUAGUAUCAUAUGAGGUAUUAUGGCGUUUACACUGUGUUCAUUUGGGUUUUUAUGCUAACUGGAACUUCAAGUCAUUGAUGGUACCUUUCCAAAAAUCCCUUCCAUCUUCUAUUUUUUUUCCAAUCAGAAAGUCUUAAAACAGAACUCAUAGGGAAGUGUGGAUUGUGCAUAUACACUGAAUCUCAUCUGAAGACAAUUUUAAUUAACAAGCAUCUAUAAAUAGUCAGCAAUGGCUAAAAUGCUUGCAGACUGUGCCAUGGGGCAUGAAUACAAUUAAUUACAGAAGUGGGUUUUUUUUUUUAAGAGGUAUGAAUUGGAGAAUAGAGUAAUGACCAAAUGUGUAGCACCUCAACUGUGUCCAUAUGUUGAGAAAUUCAGAGAAAGUUUUCAAAGUGAGAUUGAACACUCUUGAAGUGGCUUGUAAAAACUUGAAGAAUCAACAGUAGACUGAUCUCCCUUCCACAAAGGAGGAAAGCACAGUGGAAACAAUACCAGCUGUGACAAUUUCAUUUUCUGAUCCUGGUUUCUAGCUGUGUUAUUAGAAGUAAGUUACUUAAUUGCUUCAAGUUAGGAAACAUGGAUGUAAAAUGUGGAAGAAUAUUCUAAGUGAUUAGCAAAAGUGCCAUGGGUAUGCUCCCAAUGAAUAGUAGCUUUAUCUCCUUUGUGUGGGCCACAACUAAAAACUCACUUGAUCAUACUUAAAAGUUUAAAUCAAUUAUUGAAGCUGUCCUUUGGGAAAGGAUAAACACUAACUUUGCCUGAUUAAUUCCAUAAAAGGAGACAAAUUCCUUUAGGUACCAGUGGCUUUCCCAGUUUUUGAAAAAUCUUUCAGCCAAUAUAUAUAGAUUAAGCAACAGAAUAUAUAUAUUAAGCAAUAGGUAUGUUAAGCAACAGAAAGCUUUACUUCUCCAAACUAUAUGCCUCCCUGCCCCCAGUCAAGGCUCAUAGGAGCUGAAAUACAGUCCUGAAAUUAGAAAAUGGGAUGUAACUAUGUAACUGCUCCUAUCCUUCCAAUUGGCUACAGCACAAGCCACAGGGUGUGCCGUUUCUUCUUCCAAGUGUACAACUUUCUCCUUAAAUAACAUUCAUGAGUUUUUUUUAGAGCAGGAUCUAAUGAUGUACUUUCUAAUUCAGUAUCAUUUAAAUGUUAGUUGUUUUGGACUAUAAAAAUAACAUUCACUAAUUUUAGAAAAUUUCAAGAACAUAGAAUAUCCUCCAUAAGGAUGUAAUUAACUAAAAUCCGACCAGACAGAAAGCUUUUUCCUGCAAAAAUAUUCAUUGAAUGUCUAGUCUAUAUCAAUGUUUUGCUAGGUACUGAGUAUCAGCCAUAAACUAGACAUUUAUGGUCAUUGCUUUUGGGGCAUUUGUUUCAGUAGGGAUAAAAAACAUGCAAAUAAACACAUUAAUUAUACAUUGUGAUAAAAGGUGUGACCAGAAUAAUAAGGUAGUGUUUUGGAAAGUAAUAGUGCAUUAGAUAUGGUUGCUAGGAUGGGUUUCUAAAGUGGCUUCUGUCUGAGUGAAAUCUGAAGAUGAGAAUGAGAUGGCCAUAAGAAGAGUUAUGGGAGUUCCGUCGUGGCUCAAUGGUUAGGGAAUCCGACUAGGAACCAUGAGGUUGCAGGUUCGGUCCCUGGCCUUGCUCAGUGGGUUAAGGAUCCGGCGUUGCCGUGAGCUGUGGCGUAGGUUGCAGACGUGGCUCAGAUCCUGUGUUUCUGUGACUCUGGAGUAGGCCAGCAGCUACAGUUCCGAUUAGACCCCUAGCCUGGGAACCUCCAUAUGCUGAGGGUGCAGCCCUAGAAAAGACAAAAAAAAAAAAAAAAAAAAAAAAAAAAAGAGUUAUGCACAGAGUUUCCUGGCCCUAUUGUAUGUUAAGAGAUGGAAAGAAGCUUGUUGGGAAAGAAAGAGGAGGUCAGAUUGAACGGAAUGUUGUACAUGGGGGGAUGUAGUAUAAAAUUAUGAUGUAGGAAAUGAACAUUUGGUACAUAUCCUUCCAGUCUUUUUUCUAUGCAUGACAUAACAUUAUGUUGAUUAUUUUCUCAUGAUAUAUUCUUUUCCUAAAAUGACUAAAGACCUAAGCCAACCCAAUAGGAGCUCCAGAAUAAAUACUGCCUGCUGGAGUUGUCCUUUGUGGGUACAGAAUAAUUUGACCUACUGUAUACUCCUAAUUUGCUCCCUCACUGAAUGUGAAAUAUACUGAGAAGAGUGUGACCUUGGAGGAGGUGACCCUGGGGUUGCUGACAACAGCAGAAUGUUAUCUGUUGAUUGCACUGAAGCAUAGAUUAGAGAAUCAGGAAUUAGAUGAGGCACUAUGUUAAGAAAGUGUGUAAUGUGAGAAAAAGAAUACAUACAUAUAUAUAUAUAUACGUGUGUGUGUGUGUGUUACUGGGUCACUUUGCCAUACAGGAGAAAUUGACAGAACAUUGUAAAUCAACUAUAAUAAAAAUUUAAAAAAGAAAGUGUGCAAUGCUAAAACUUUAGACAAACACUAGCUAAAUAACUAGAAUAGUAAUAAAUAUCCCUGAUGUGUUCAGCUUUAAGGUUUAUUUGGUAUCAGCCAAGAUGUAUCAGUUAGCUUUUGCUGCCUUAUGCACAAUCCCUAAAAUUACUGAUUUAAAACACAAUAACCAUUUAUUGUGUUCCUGAGUCUAUAGCUCUGCAACAUGAUUCUUCUGGUCUGGGGUGAGCUUGGCUGAUUUCUAUUGCUGUGCGUCUGCCCUCAGCUGGUAGGGUGGCCAGUAGCUAGAUGGUUCAGGAUAGCUUUACAUGUCUAGCAGUUAGCAAGCUAAAAGCUGGAGUGUUGGGUGACUGGGCUGCAUGUCUUUUGCCAUCCAGCAGACUAGCUUAAACUGUUCACAUAGUGAUGAUCACAGAGUGCCCAAGAGCGGUACAGGGUCAGCCACAGUGUUUACAAGCACGUUUUAAGUUCCAGCUUACAUCAUGUUUGCUAACCUCUCAUUGGCCAGAGAAGUCACAAGGCCAACCGAGACUCAAAAAGUGGAGAAACAGGAGUUUCCAUCAUGGCUCAGAGGUAAUGAUCCACAACAGAUUCCAUGAGGAUGUGGGUUCAAUUCCUGGCCUUACUCAGGGGGUUAAGAAUCCAGUGUUGCCAUGAGCUGUGGUGUAGGUUGCAGACAUGGCUCGGAUCCCAUGUGGCUAUGGCUGUGGUGUAGGCUGGCAGCUGUAGCUAUGAUUUGACCCCUAGCCUGGGAACUUCC
Molecule: long non-coding RNA, 6655 nt
Filed under: Sus scrofa (pig)
Lineage: Eukaryota; Metazoa; Chordata; Mammalia; Artiodactyla; Suidae
Description: lncRNA (ENSSSCG00000052100.1)
Source: RNAcentral